GGUUGAUGAAUAAGUAUGAAGGAGAAAAACAAUCUAAAUCACCCCUUAGUACCACUACCACCAUCAUCACAGCAAAUCCACUUCCAAGAUAUAUCACAACACCAAUGUUGUGGUGUAUAUUGAGCAUGAUUAGGAUAUGAUUGUGGAUAACUUUGAAAAUUUUCAACAGCACCAUGACGAGCACUUUGUGUGAUUCCAACCAACAAAAAGCUCCCAAUCGCAAGAACCAAUAUCACUAACUUAGAAAUUUCCAUCAUGACUUUGCAAAUU
This 270-nucleotide long non-coding RNA is filed under the name Trifolium pratense (red clover). RNAcentral describes it as "long non-coding RNA (TPRA_LNC013112)". The record is from RNAcentral. Lineage: Eukaryota; Viridiplantae; Streptophyta; Magnoliopsida; Fabales; Fabaceae.